CUUAAACACUAAUUUAAACCAACAAUGUUUAUAUCAUAACAUAAACUUCUACUAAAAAUUAAACCAUUUUUUUACCUUAGUAUGGGAGACAGAAAAGGUUCAACCCAAAGCAAUAGAAAAAGUACCGCAGGGGAAAGCUGAAAGAGAAAUGAAAUAACCCAUAUUAGCCAUAAAAAACAAAGAUUAGACCUG
RNAcentral lists this ribosomal RNA (192 nucleotides) under Gobiobotia brevibarba. RNAcentral's name for it is "partial large subunit ribosomal RNA". Lineage: Eukaryota; Metazoa; Chordata; Actinopteri; Cypriniformes; Gobionidae. The record is from RNAcentral.